CCCGCUGAAUUUAAGCAUAUUAAUAAGCGGAGGAAAAGAAACUAACAAGGAUUCCCCCAGUAACGGCGAGUGAAGCGGGAAGAGCUCAAAUUUGAAAUCUCCGAUGCUUGCAUCGGCGAGUUGUAGUUGCGAGAAGCACUUUCUAGGCGGAUCGGUGGUGCCUAAGUUGCUUGGAACAGCACGUCACAGAGGGUGACAACCCCGUCUGUGGCGCCGCCGGCCGCCCACGAUGUGCUUUCCAAGAGUCGGGUUGUUUGGGAAUGCAGCCCAAAAUGGGUGGUAAACUCCAUCUAAAGCUAAAUACUGGCGUGAGACCGAUAGCGAACAAGUACCGUGAGGGAAAGAUGAAAAGAACUUUGAAAAGAGAGUUAAAAAGUACGUGAAACCGUUGAAAGGGAAACGAAUGGGCUCAGCAAUGCACCCUUUGAGAUUCAGCCGGUGGGUGGGAUCGGCGGCGGGUUUGCGGAUCUGAAUGGACCGCGGCCCGGCGCUCGUUUCCCCUCGCCGUCGCACUUCUCUUGGGCGCGCGUCAACGUCGGUUGGGACUGGGUCUGAAAGGUGCCGGGAAGGUAGGUGUGGGCCUCCGGGUCCGUACUGUUACAGCCCGGCUCUCUCAUGGCUCGGGCCCGACCGAGGAGUUGCAGGGCAUGCCUCCUGUGGCUAGGGUCCCGUCCUUCCGGCCGGUUGUCCAAUGCCGUGGACUGCUUGCAGUGCUUGGCGAACGCUGCCGGUCGUUGGGGUGGUGCUCUCGUACCAUGCCCUUAGGAUGUUGGCGGUCAUAUGGGUCC
This 788-nucleotide ribosomal RNA is filed under the name Cyphastrea chalcidicum. RNAcentral's name for it is "partial large subunit ribosomal RNA". It matches the Rfam family "Eukaryotic large subunit ribosomal RNA", at positions 24 to 641 of the family's 3401-position model. Lineage: Eukaryota; Metazoa; Cnidaria; Anthozoa; Scleractinia; Merulinidae. The record is from RNAcentral.